UACGUAGGGUGCAAGCGUUAAUCGGAAUUACUGGGCGUAAAGCGUGCGCAGGCGGUGAUGUAAGGCAGGUGUGAAAUCCCCGGGCUUAACCUGGGAACUGCAUUUGUGACUGCAUCGCUGGAGUGCGGCAGAGGGGGAUGGAAUUCCGCGUGUAGCAGUGAAAUGCGUAGAUAUGCGGAGGAACACCGAUGGCGAAGGCAAUCCCCUGGGCCUGCACUGACGCUCAUGCACGAAAGCGGGUGGAGCAAACAGG
RNAcentral lists this ribosomal RNA (253 nucleotides) under uncultured bacterium. RNAcentral's name for it is "partial 16S ribosomal RNA". It matches the Rfam family "Bacterial small subunit ribosomal RNA", at positions 524 to 776 of the family's 1533-position model. The record is from RNAcentral.